This 203-nucleotide unclassified non-coding RNA is filed under the name Hevea brasiliensis (rubber tree). Lineage: Eukaryota; Viridiplantae; Streptophyta; Magnoliopsida; Malpighiales; Euphorbiaceae. The record is from RNAcentral.
GUCGCAAUGCCCUAAUGCGAUACUACUUGAACAACUUUGUUGAUGGCACUAAACAGGUAUUGCUACUCAUACCAGCAAUUAGUUACUUCAUGUUACUAAGUUUGCAUCCAUUUUACCUACAUGUGCCAUGUGUUCAUAUGAAAAUUUGGAAAAGUUUUCUUUGAAUGAUACUGAAAUCAUGUAUCUGGGUGUAUGUGGGAUGU